Molecule: long non-coding RNA, 778 nt
Organism: Strigops habroptila (Kakapo)
Lineage: Eukaryota; Metazoa; Chordata; Aves; Psittaciformes; Psittacidae
Exons: 3
Source: RefSeq, a predicted model, not a curated record
UCCCUGCAGUUUCACGCAGGGGCCGUUCCCAGCUGCCGGGCGUUGGGGUGCUGGGUUCGGGCACAGCGUGCAGCGCUUGGGUGGGUGAUGGUGAUGGCGCGGGGGAGCGCGGUGCCCCCCUUGCUGUCGAACUUGCGUUCGUGCCGCUGGAGAUGGGCGUAAAAGAAGCCAUUAAAUUUGAUUUAGUCGGUUGCUCGGCAGCUGUGGCUGAAUUCACAGGGUGAACGGUGUCCUUUUCCCGCUUAAACUCCACCCGGGCUCUCAGCAAUAGUGUGCUACGCGUUAGAGCUGUGACUGCUAAAGGAGCGUGCCAGUGUACCUGUGCCAGGUUACGUAAAAAAAUCAGCUCCAGAGGUGUCAGUUGCUGGGAAAGAUAGUGGAACAUUUCAGGUAGAGAGAAGCCCUUCUGCCUCUCACCACCCCCAGAAGUACAGUUUCUAUGUGGGCUACCCUGUCUCUGCCGUGGGCCCAACCCUGCUUUCAAGUAGGACCUGCAGCUGUACGAAGCUUUCCCUGAAGCCCGCAGAAGUCUAAGGCAGGAGGAACUCACUUACUGGAAAUGAGAGAGAAGGAGGAAAAGGAUCUUGGAGUAUUAGCCGGUCACACACAAUGAACUGCUAAAAGUGGGGUGCUGUGAAAAAUCAAGGCUGUGAAGUGUCCAGAUCCUGCGGUGCUGCAGAAGUGGUGUAUAUGCAUACAUGCCUCAUGUAUGGGUGGGAUGUGCCAUUUGCGACAUGUUUUGAGGCACCUGACAUGUUUUUCCACAAUUCCCUGAAGA